RNAcentral lists this ribosomal RNA (433 nucleotides) under uncultured bacterium. RNAcentral's name for it is "partial 16S ribosomal RNA". It matches the Rfam family "Bacterial small subunit ribosomal RNA", at positions 29 to 507 of the family's 1533-position model. The record is from RNAcentral.
AACGAACGCUGGCGGCAUGCCUAACACAUGCAAGUCGAACGAGACCUUCGGUUCUAGUGGCGCACGGGUGCGUAACGCGUGGGAACCUGCCCUUAUGUUCGGAAUAACUCCCCGAAAGGGGUGCUAAUACCGGAUAAUGUCUUCGGCCCAAAGAUUUAUCGCCUUUGGAUGGGCCCGCGUUGGAUUAGCUAGUUGGUAGGGUAAAAGCCUACCCAGGCGACGAUCCAUAGCUGGUCUGAGAGGAUGAUCAGCCACACUGGGACUGAGACACGGCCCAGACUCCUACGGGAGGCAGCAGUGGGGAAUAUUGGACAAUGGGCGAAAGCCUGAUCAAGCAAUGCCGCGUGAGUGAAGAAGGCCUUAGGGUUGUAAAGCUCUUUUACCCGGGAUGAUAAUGACAGUACCGGGAGAAUAAGCUCCGGCUAACUCCGUG